Long non-coding RNA from Camellia sinensis, 1171 nucleotides. RefSeq lists it as uncharacterized. The record is from RefSeq and is a predicted model, not a curated record. NCBI's taxonomy places the organism in Eukaryota, Viridiplantae, Streptophyta, Magnoliopsida, Ericales, Theaceae.
GCUGGUGAGUUCUAGAAUCAAUGAGAACAAAAGAAAAACAAAAAAAGAAAGGUGAACUCAAUAUGUUGAAUAGGGAUGUAAUGGAAGCAAAAAAGGACCGAGAGAGAGAGUUAGCUGCUGGAAAUCCAACUCAAGAGUUCAAGAAGAAGAAGAAAUAAGGAAGGAAAAGCAAGGAAAGGUGUGGAAUUAAAGGGGAGCUCAAGAAUUUAUCAAAGAUUCAUCAAAUUCAAGAGUUUAGGUGAUCAGGUGCGUGACUAGGCCUAGAGGUUCUACCUGGACUUUGUUUUGUCAGCCAAUCUAUGUGCCUCCCAUGGAGAGGCCUUCGGUAAUCCCAUGAUUACUGGCCAGUUACGAUGCUAAACCUAUAGGGGCGGGUUUUGGUUGUGACACCUAAUUAUGGCGAAGCCAACACUAAGUUGAUCGAAGUGGCCCAAUGCUUGAAAGAGGGUAAGAGUUGCAUUGCUCUAGCUUUGGUCGAAACUUUGAUGGGUGUAGAUGCUUUUCACAUGUGAGAGACUACUCUGCUCGCAGGGAGACCACUGGUACUCCAGGGAUGGCUAAUAGAUAAGUUGAAAGUGGUGGACCCUUGCCCUAUGUAUUCAGCCAGAGCUUACUUUUUUCACCAACGGCUAGUGGAUUUUCCCACAGAGGAAUGGUUGUGCAACUGGAUGUGCAGCAGAUCUGCGGCUGAUAUUACCUGGUGUUGCCUCUAGCUUAAUUUGGCUGAGAUGAGCUACAGCAUGUCCCAACAACUGGGCAUAUAGUUGAUUGGCAUCACACACUGCAUGUUUUAUAUCCCUUUCUGGUUCAGACGCCAGUUUGGACAUGACCAGGCCCAACCAGAAGAGGGGGUGGAAUACCCAACUUCAUUUCCCAUUUGUGUUGCGCACCUGACUCAGUACCUCACUGCUUGGAGGACAAGAGAAAUGCUGGCCCUUGUCCCUAGCUUUAGUUGCGCCCUUUCCGGCGAGUGCUUGGCUUGGCUUGAAGAAGAGGCACAUGUUGGGCCAACUUUGACUGUAAAGACUUCUGCAAGCACGAGUAGAGGACGCAGGAACACCUAACUCACCUAUGCCCCUAGUUUAUUACUCUGACCUUUCUUUUCAAGUUUUAUGAUGUAAAAGCAACUUUAAUUUAAAUCAGAGAGUUGGAGAAUGUACUUUGUGUUGAA